ACGCAACGCCCAGCGUUAGGAGCCACAAGGCAGGCCAUGGUUUCAUCGAACAGCCGGGAGUGGAGCGGGAUGCUGAAGGAUAGCGGCGCUCACUUCAGUGAGCCCAGCUUGAACCCCACCAUUGGCGUCCUGGGCACCACUCUGAAUAAGCUGCUUCAGUUGUGACUUGUAGCACAAAGUUUCUGUCACCCAGUUCAUCGUCAUCUCUGAACCAAAGCCAUUGGUCCUGCCUGCUAGUCACCACUUGAAUAAAAGUUGGAAUGGU
Molecule: long non-coding RNA, 265 nt
Filed under: Ixodes scapularis (black-legged tick)
Lineage: Eukaryota; Metazoa; Arthropoda; Arachnida; Ixodida; Ixodidae
Description: uncharacterized LOC115324440, transcript variant X3
Source: RNAcentral